Molecule: unclassified non-coding RNA, 29 nt
Filed under: Dictyostelium discoideum
Lineage: Eukaryota; Evosea; Eumycetozoa; Dictyosteliales; Dictyosteliaceae
Source: RNAcentral
GAAACAAUACCACUUCUUUCUGUAGGCAC